AGUGGCCACAAGCGUGCUUGAAAGGAAACCAGACACGGGAAGUUCUCUGAUGUCCUUCUUUAUUUCUAUCAGACUAAGCAUUCCUUGAAGACAGGAUCUGUGUUUCUGCCUAAGCCCACCUUCUGCAAGAAGAAAGGAAGUACAUGCUGGGCUGGCGUGGUGGGAGAGGCAUGAUACAUGAGGCCGGUACAACCAUGUCCGAUAUGAAACUUGAGUUCCCCUGCUGAUUCAUUGGACUCAAAGCCAACAUGUCAACUUUUUGCCUUACUGAUUCAGGAACACCAAUGGAUGGAAAA
Molecule: long non-coding RNA, 296 nt
Organism: Tupaia belangeri chinensis (Chinese tree shrew)
Lineage: Eukaryota; Metazoa; Chordata; Mammalia; Scandentia; Tupaiidae
Exons: 3
Source: RefSeq, a predicted model, not a curated record